RNAcentral lists this ribosomal RNA (454 nucleotides) under uncultured organism. RNAcentral's name for it is "partial 16S ribosomal RNA". It matches the Rfam family "Bacterial small subunit ribosomal RNA", at positions 330 to 800 of the family's 1533-position model. The record is from RNAcentral.
CGUACACUCCUACGGGAGGCAGCAGUGGGGAAUAUUGGACAAUGGGCGCAAGCCUGAUCCAGCCAUGCCGCGUGAGUGAUGAAGGCCCUAGGGUUGUAAAGCUCUUUCACCGGUGAAGAUAAUGACGGUAACCGGAGAAGAAGCCCCGGCUAACUUCGUGCCAGCAGCCGCGGUAAUACGAAGGGGGCUAGCGUUGUUCGGAUUUACUGGGCGUAAAGCGCACGUAGGCGGACUAUUAAGUCAGGGGUGAAAUCCCGGGGCUCAACCCCGGAACUGCCUUUGAUACUGGUAGUCUUGAGUUCGAGAGAGGGGAGUGGAAUUCCGAGUGUAGAGGUGAAAUUCGUAGAUAUUCGGAGGAACACCAGUGGCGAAGGCGGCUCACUGGCUCGAUACUGACGCUGAGGUGCGAAAGCGUGGGGAGCAAACAGGAUUAGAAACCCCGGUAGUCCCAUGA